CAUCAGCUUCAGCAGCAGUAGCAAUUAGCUACUGCUGUGAGCAAAUCAGCAGUAAAAACUGCUGCUGCGGGAAAGAAAAGAAAACAGGAAAGAAAGAAAAGAAAGAAAGAAAGCAAGAAAGAAAGAAAAGAAAGCUGUAGGGAAAAGAAAGAAAAGAAAGAAAGAAAAGAAAGUAAGUAAGGAAGAAAGAAAGAGAAAGAAAUAGAAGAGAGGAAAAAAUGAAAGAAAGAAAAAUGAGAAAGAAAGAGUUGAAAGAACUCGAUGUAAUUGUGAAAUUGCAAUUGCAUUGAAAGUCGAAAUUG
Molecule: long non-coding RNA, 302 nt
Filed under: Ananas comosus (pineapple)
Lineage: Eukaryota; Viridiplantae; Streptophyta; Magnoliopsida; Poales; Bromeliaceae
Description: long non-coding RNA (ACOM_LNC041260)
Source: RNAcentral